GGGCUUAUAGCUCAAUUGGCUAGAGCUUCCGGCUCAUAACCGGAUGGUUCGAGGUUCGAUUCCUCGUAAGCCCACCA
This 77-nucleotide transfer RNA is filed under the name Synergistaceae bacterium. Its description in RNAcentral is "tRNA-Ile". It matches the Rfam family "tRNA". From Rfam's summary of the family: Transfer RNA (tRNA) molecules are approximately 80 nucleotides in length. Their secondary structure includes four short double-helical elements and three loops (D, anti-codon, and T loops). The record is from RNAcentral. Lineage: Bacteria; Thermotogati; Synergistota; Synergistia; Synergistales; Synergistaceae.